UGCAAGUCGAGGGGCAGCAUAAUGGAUAGCAAUAUCUAUGGUGGCGACCGGCGCACGGGUGCGUAACGCGUAUGCAACCUACCUUUAACAGGGGGAUAACACUGAGAAAUUGGUACUAAUACCCCAUAAUAUCAUAGAAGGCAUCUUUUAUGGUUGAAAAUUCCGAUGGUUAGAGAUGGGCAUGCGUUGUAUUAGCUAGUUGGUGGGGUAACGGCUCACCAAGGCGACGAUACAUAGGGGGACUGAGAGGUUAACCCCCCACACUGGUACUGAGACACGGACCAGACUCCUACGGGAGGCAGCAGUGAGGAAUAUUGGUCAAUGGACGCAAGUCUGAACCAGCCAUGCCGCGUGCAGGAUGACGGCUCUAUGAGUUGUAAACUGCUUUUGUACGAGGGUAAACGCAGAUACGUGUAUCUGUCUGAAAGUAUCGUACGAAUAAGGAUCGGCUAACUCCGUGCCAGCAGCCGCGGUAAUACGGAGGAUUCAAGCGUUAUCCGGAUUUAUUGGGUUUAAAGGGUGCGUAGGCGGUUUGAUAAGUUAGAGGUGAAAUUUCGGGGCUCAACCCUGAACGUGCCUCUAAUACUGUUGAGCUAGAGAGUAGUUGCGGUAGGCGGAAUGUAUGGUGUAGCGGUGAAGUGCUUAGAGAUCAUACAGAACACCGAUUGCGAAGGCAGCUUACCAAACUAUAUCUGACGUUGAGGCACGAAAGCGUGGGGAGCAAACAGGAUUAGAUACCCUGGUAGUCCACGCAGUAAACGAUGAUAACUCGUUGUCGGCGAUACACAGUCGGUGACUAAGCGAAAGCGAUAAGUUAUCCACCUGGGGAGUACGUUCGCAA
RNAcentral lists this ribosomal RNA (841 nucleotides) under uncultured bacterium. Its description in RNAcentral is "bacterial SSU rRNA". It matches the Rfam family "Bacterial small subunit ribosomal RNA", at positions 56 to 891 of the family's 1533-position model. The record is from RNAcentral.